UUGUAUUUUAUUAGAGAUGUGGUCUCACUGAGUUGCUUAGCACCUUGCAUUUAUUUCUGAGGCUGGCUUUGAACUUGUGAUCCUCCUUUCUCAGUCUCCCCAGCCUCUGGGAUUGCAAGUAUGCACCACCACACCCUGCUGAAGUAUCAUUUUUGUUUGGUUUGGUACUGGGGAUUGAAUUUCUCUAUCCCCCAACCCCCAAAUUUGUGAUUACAACCAGGGCAAGUUUUAUAGUUAUUUUAAUUAUUGUGCUCAAAAUCUGAAGCUUUUCCAUAGGAAUGAGAAUUUAGAGUUCAAGUUCCAAACUUAAAUCAAGUAUUUGCUCUACAGAAAUCCUUGACAGUGAUGCCUCUUCGUGCUUAAAGUCUCUUAAGGAAAGUAUAACUUGUAGAAGACAGUAAUUAUUAGAUGGACUGUAAUUUUAUUUUAGGUAAUUAUUUAGAUAUCUGAAAAACAAGCCGUAGAUUUGAAUAAAUGCAACCUCAUACUCCUUAAUCUUGAGGGAAUAUUAGAACAAUGUCUAUUAUUGAGGUAUUAUUAGAACAAUGGAAGUGUUUUAUAAACUAUAAAGUAUUAUAUAAAUGAUAUCAUGGGGAAGGCUAGAAUUUCUUUUUUUGACACUGUGAGACUAAAAUUCUGAAAUAAAGGUCUGAAAAAGGCACUGGACAGUGACAUGAUCUUGCAGGAUGUCUGAGUACUUUGAGGGUGAAUCUGGUAUUCACUUUAAUGCUUUAUGGCAAGUUAAACUUCCUGAGUGAAAGGAGACUAUUUUUGGUAUUGGGGAUUGAAUCCAGGGGUGCUUAACCACUGUGCUACAUUCUGUAGCCCCUUUCAUUUUUUAUUUUGAGACAGGGUCUUGCCAAGUUGCUUAGGGCUUCACUAAGUUGAUGAGGCUGCCUUUGAACUUGAAUUCUUCCUGCCUCAGCUCCCCAAACUGCUACCACUACCUUAUUUUUACUUUUUAAAUUCUUUUUAUGUUUUUGUAGUUGUAGAUGGGCAGAAUGCCUUUAUUUUAUUUAUUUUUAUGUGGUACUAAGGAUCAAACCCUGUGCCUCACACAUGCUAGGCAAGCACUCUACCACUGAGCUACAUCCCCAGCCCUUAUUUUUACUUUUAAAAACACAUUUAUUGAAUAAACUUUGAUCUUAUCUCUUCUCCAUUUUCCCUAAAGGCUGUUACUACUGUUUCCUUUGUAGACUCUUCCUAUUUCUGUCAUGAUAAUUAUUUUCAAAGAUAGUUAUUCCUUCCCUAUAAAAAAAUUCCCACAAUUUAUCUCAUAAAUACUUGAAUGGCCAAAAUUUAAUCUAACGGGAAUAUGUAAUGGUUUUUCAACACAGUGGUAGACAAAACAGCUUAGUCUGAAAAAGUGAGUGCAAGAAUAGAUGUCUCCAAUGUACUAUUUAAUAAUCACAUUGAUCUACUACCCCCAUUUUAUCUAUUUUCAGUAACUACAUUUAUAUAUAUAAUUUUUUUAUCUUUUAACUAUUUUACAUGGAUAUAUAAUUAUUUUUGUCUUUGAACUUU
This 1524-nucleotide long non-coding RNA is filed under the name Marmota monax (woodchuck). The record is from RNAcentral. Lineage: Eukaryota; Metazoa; Chordata; Mammalia; Rodentia; Sciuridae.